RNAcentral lists this ribosomal RNA (253 nucleotides) under uncultured bacterium. Its description in RNAcentral is "partial 16S ribosomal RNA". It matches the Rfam family "Bacterial small subunit ribosomal RNA", at positions 524 to 776 of the family's 1533-position model. The record is from RNAcentral.
UACGUAGGGUGCGAGCGUUGUCCGGAAUUAUUGGGCGUAAAGGGCUCGUAGGCGGUUUGUCGCGUCGGGAGUGAAAACCAUGGGCUUAACUCAUGGCUUGCUUCCGAUACGGGCAGACUAGAGGCAUGCAGGGGAGAACGGAAUUCCUGGUGUAGCGGUGAAAUGCGCAGAUAUCAGGAGGAACACCGGUGGCGAAGGCGGUUCUCUGGGCAUGUCCUGACGCUGAGGAGCGAAAGCGUGGGGAGCGAACAGG